GACGAACGCUGGCGGCGUGCUUAACACAUGCAAGUCGAACGGAAAGGCCCUGCUUUUGUGGGGUGCUCGAGUGGCGAACGGGUGAGUAACACGUGAGUAACCUGCCCUUGACUUUGGGAUAACUUCAGGAAACUGGGGCUAAUACCGGAUAGGAGCUCCUGCUGCAUGGUGGGGGUUGGAAAGUUUCGGCGGUUGGGGAUGGACUCGCGGCUUAUCAGCUUGUUGGUGGGGUAGUGGCUUACCAAGGCUUUGACGGGUAGCCGGCCUGAGAGGGUGACCGGCCACAUUGGGACUGAGAUACGGCCCAGACUCCUACGGGAGGCAGCAGUGGGGAAUAUUGCACAAUGGGCGGAAGCCUGAUGCAGCAACGCCGCGUGCGGGAUGACGGCCUUCGGGUUGUAAACCGCUUUCGCCUGUGACGAAGCGUGAGUGACGGUAAUGGGUAAAGAAGCACCGGCUAACUACGUGCCAGCAGCCGCGGUGAUACGUAGGGUGCGAGCGUUGUCCGGAUUUAUUGGGCGUAAAGGGCUCGUAGGUGGUUGAUCGCGUCGGAAGUGUAAUCUUGGGGCUUAACCCUGAGCGUGCUUUCGAUACGGGUUGACUUGAGGAAGGUAGGGGAGAAUGGAAUUCCUGGUGGAGCGGUGGAAUGCGCAGAUAUCAGGAGGAACACCAGUGGCGAAGGCGGUUCUCUGGGCCUUUCCUGACGCUGAGGAGCGAAAGCGUGGGGAGCGAACAGGCUUAGAUACCCUGGUAGUCCACGCUGUAAACGGUGGGUACUAGGUGUGGGGUCCAUUCCACGGGUUCCGUGCCGUAGCUAACGCUUUAAGUACCCCGCCUGGGGAGUACGGCCGCAAGGCUAAAACUCAAAGGAAUUGACGGGGCCCCGCACAAGCGGCGGAGCAUGCGGAUUAAUUCGAUGCAACGCGUAGAACCUUACCUGGGUUUGACAUGGGUCGGGAGUGCUCAGAGAUGGGUGUGCCUCUUUUGGGGUCGGUUCACAGGUGGUGCAUGGCUGUCGUCAGCUCGUGUCGUGAGAUGUUGGGUUAAGUCCCGCAACGAGCGCAACCCUUGUUCACUGUUGCCAGCACGUUAUGGUGGGGACUCAGUGUAGACCGCCGGGGUCAACUCGGAGGAAGGUGGGGAUGACGUCAAGUCAUCAUGCCCCUUAUGUCCAGGGCUUCACGCAUGCUACAAUGGCUGGUACAGAGAGUGGCGAGCCUGUGAGGGUGAGCGAAUCUCGGAAAGCCGGUCUCAGUUCGGAUUGGGGUCUGCAACUCGACCUCAUGAAGUCGGAGUCGCUAGUAAUCGCAGAUCAGCAACGCUGCGGUGAAUACGUUCCCGGGGCU
This 1346-nucleotide ribosomal RNA is filed under the name uncultured bacterium. RNAcentral describes it as "partial 16S ribosomal RNA". It matches the Rfam family "Bacterial small subunit ribosomal RNA", at positions 28 to 1381 of the family's 1533-position model. The record is from RNAcentral.